Molecule: ribosomal RNA, 812 nt
Filed under: Notocomplana palta
Lineage: Eukaryota; Metazoa; Platyhelminthes; Polycladida; Notocomplanidae
Description: partial large subunit ribosomal RNA
Rfam family: Bacterial large subunit ribosomal RNA (bases 558-812)
Source: RNAcentral
CGAAUUCUGUUGAUUACUCUUAAUUCCGUUAAGAACUUAUAUAUUUAAAUGUAUUUUUAUAUAGAAAUAAAGAGAGAAUAAAAAUUAUAAUCGGUUCAGAAUAUAUCUGGUUGAGGUUAAAAAAUUACUAAGUACUUUUUUGGGUUAAUCUCAAAAAAGUAAAAAGAGGUAUUAUAUAAUUGAAAAAUGUUUAAGACGAAAAGUGUCUAAAACUAAAGGGUUUUAUAACUAUAUUUAAAAUGUAUGAUGAUCUUUAUUUUAUUAGUCCUUAUAUAAAUCAGUAUCAUAUAAUGAUGGAAUAAGUAAAUAAAAAUAAUUAUAAGGAACUCAAAAUUUUUACAACUGUUUAUCAAAAACAUUUCCUUUAGAAUAUAUUUAAAGGUAUUGCCUGCCCAAUGUUAAAUUAUUAAUGGCUGCGGUAUCUUAACUGCACUAAGGUAGCAUAAUUAAUUGUCUUUUAAAUGGUGACCUGUUUGAAUGGCUUAAUGAGAAAAAAAAUUUCUUUUAAUUAUAAUAAAAUUAUAUUUCAAGGUUAAAAUACCUGAUUAUAAAAGAAAGACGAGAAGACCCUGUUGAGUUUUACAUUUUAUUUAUAAUGUUAAAAUGGGAAAUUUAGCCUUUUAUUAAGGUUUAUUAGAUCCUGGAAUGAUAUAUCAUUUUGGAUGUAGGAUAAAAUUACCACAGGGAUAACAGGACAAUAUAUGCUAAGAGUUCUAAUCGAAGCAAAUGGUUGUUACCUCGAUGUUGAAUCGAAAUCUCUUUUUGAUGCAGCAGUCAAUAAAGUAGGUCUGUUCGACCUUUUAAAUUUCACG